Long non-coding RNA from Ictalurus punctatus (channel catfish), 557 nucleotides. NCBI's taxonomy places the organism in Eukaryota, Metazoa, Chordata, Actinopteri, Siluriformes, Ictaluridae. The record is from Ensembl.
GGUUUGAUUCCCACGGCUCUGUGUGUGCGGAGUUUGCUGUUCUCCCCGUGCUGCGGUGGUUUCCUCCGGAUACUCCGAUUUCCUCCCCCAGUCCAAAGACAUGCAUGGCCGUGAUCCCAGCCAUUCCACUGGACCUCAGGGUUUCUGCAAACAUUUCCCAAAUAGCAAACUGCACUGUGCCAAGCAGCGGGCAGAGCCCGAGCAUCUGUUUCAGCCCUGCUUCAGGGUCACCAUAGCCAGAGUGAAUGCUGAAGGGCCUUCGUAGGAGCCGUGUCCACUGGCAGGUGCUUUUACUCAGUCAGAGUCAGAAUCCAAGUCAAGCCUCAAGCUGAUCUAAGGGCUCAGCAGUGGCUCUCUGGCGCUCAUGGGAUUUUCACUCGAUGCCUUCCGGUUAUUAGCUUCCAGUAUCCAGAUGAUACCCGACGGUGAGCUGACUAUGAAGUCCUGACUGACCUCACCUGUCUGAUCAGAUCUUCUGAACUAUUGUGGUCUAACACCAUUAUUCUUGGUUUCUUCUGAAUUAAUGGCUCAUGCUGUGUCUCUUGGUUUCAGUUGCA